UGGGGAAUAUUGGACAAUGGGGGAAACCCUGAUCCAGCAAUGCCGCGUGAGUGAAGAAGGCCUUAGGGUUGUAAAGCUCUUUCGCCCGCGAAGAUAAUGACGGUAGCGGGAGAAGAAGCCCCGGCUAACUCCGUGCCAGCAGCCGCGGUAAUACGGAGGGGGCUAGCGUUGUUCGGAAUUACUGGGCGUAAAGCGUACGUAGGCGGAUGCGCAAGUUGGGGGUGAAAUCCCGGGGCUUAACCUCGGAAUUGCCCUCAAAACUGCACGUCUUUAGACCGAGAGAGGUAAGGGGAAUUCCUAGUGUAGAGGUGAAAUUCGUAGAUAUUAGGAAGAACACCAGUGGCGAAGGCGCCUUACUGACUCGGUACUGACGCUGAGGUACGAAAGCGUGGGGAGCAAACA
Molecule: ribosomal RNA, 402 nt
Filed under: uncultured bacterium
Lineage: Bacteria
Description: bacterial SSU rRNA
Rfam family: Bacterial small subunit ribosomal RNA
Source: RNAcentral